CUUCUUCCUCUCUUUGUGCUGGGUAAAACCAUGAGUCAAAGAGAGAGAGAAAGCUUUGCGCUGGUGGGUUUGAAGAAAAUUGAAGAAAGGAAAAUGCAAGAUCAUCAAGAAGCUAUCAAUUGAAGAUUAAAGGUGAGCAAACUAAGCAACAAGGAUAGAGAAAGUCUUGGAGUCUACCCAUGUCAGCUUUUUGAAGAGCUUCCAGAAUAGAGCAAGUUAGGCUCGAGUAGGGCCAAGAAAAUCAACCCCUUAACUUUGUCAAAGCUUUGGAUUUUGCUAUGUCUUAAUGUAUAUGUGUGUGAGAUAUAUAUAGGAUUUGUAUAUGUAUAUAAAUUAUUAUUGUGUUUAAAUGUUUUAAUUAUUUAGGUCAUGUAUGCACAAACUCAAAGGAUAUUAUUAUUUUGUUUCACUUC
Camellia sinensis is the source of this 413-nucleotide long non-coding RNA. RefSeq lists it as uncharacterized. NCBI's taxonomy places the organism in Eukaryota, Viridiplantae, Streptophyta, Magnoliopsida, Ericales, Theaceae. The record is from RefSeq and is a predicted model, not a curated record.